UCGGGAAUUUUGGGCAAUGGGGGAAACCCUGACCCAGCAACGCCGCGUGAAGGAUGAAGUAUUUCGGUAUGUAAACUUCGAAAGAAUAGGAAGAAUAAAUGACGGUACUAUUUAUAAGGUCCGGCUAACUACGUGCCAGCAGCCGCGGUAAUACGUAGGGACCAAGCGUUGUUCGGAUUUACUGGGCGUAAAGGGCGCGUAGGCGGCAUGACAAGUCACUUGUGAAAUCUCUGGGCUUAACCCAGAACGGCCAAGUGAUACUGUCGCGCUAGAGUGCAGAAGGGGCAAUCGGAAUUCCUAGUGUAGAGGUGAAAUUCGUAGAUAUUAGGAAGAACACCAGUGGCGAAGGCGGCUCACUGGCCCGAUACUGACGCUGAGGUGCGAAAGCGUGGGGAGCAAACAGGAUUAGAUACCCAAGUAGUCCCUGAGCGGGCUGGCAAGGCGCAU
This 447-nucleotide ribosomal RNA is filed under the name uncultured bacterium. RNAcentral describes it as "bacterial SSU rRNA". It matches the Rfam family "Bacterial small subunit ribosomal RNA", at positions 355 to 825 of the family's 1533-position model. The record is from RNAcentral.